GACGAACGCUGGCGGCGUGCCUAAUACAUGCCAGUCGAACGAGAGCGACCGGUGCUUGCACUGGUCAAUCUAGUGGCGAACGGGUGAGUAACACGUGGGUAACCUGCCCAUCAGAGGGGGAUAACAUCCGGAAACGGAUGCUAAAACCGCAUAGGUCUUCGAACCGCAUGGUUUGAAGAGGAAAAGAGGCGCAAGCUUCUGCUGAUGGAUGGACCCGCGGUGCAUUAGCUAGUUGGUGAGGUAACGGCUCACCAAGGCCGUGAUGCAUAGCCGACCUGAGAGGGUGAUCGGCCACAUUGGGACUGAGACACGGCCCAAACUCCUACGGGAGGCAGCAGUAGGGAAUCUUCCGCAAUGGACGCAAGUCUGACGGAGCAACGCCGCGUGAGUGAAGAAGGUUUUCGGAUCGUAAAACUCUGUUGUUAGAGAAGAACAAGUGCUAGAGUAACUGUUAGCGCCUUGACGGUAUCUAACCAGAAAGCCACGGCUAACUACG
This 496-nucleotide ribosomal RNA is filed under the name uncultured bacterium. RNAcentral's name for it is "partial 16S ribosomal RNA". It matches the Rfam family "Bacterial small subunit ribosomal RNA", at positions 28 to 505 of the family's 1533-position model. The record is from RNAcentral.